AUGAGGAAGAGGAAGACACCACCCAUAAGUAAUUUUUUCAAGUCAAUUGCUUCAAACUCUACAGUUGAAAAUGCAAAUGCAACCGUGGAGGUCGAUGUCACAGAGCAACCCACUGAUCAUAAUGUCCCCAAUCUCAGUUCAGUUGAUAUGCCACCCCCUGAGCAAAAUAUCGAGGCAUCUGUAGAAGUAGAAGUUCUAGAACAACAAAGAAUCCGAAGCACACCAUUCGAGCGAGACCCUGGAAAGCGCAAACAGAUUUAGGAACUCCCUUUUGAUAAGCAAAAUGAAGCACGCCAAUUCUAUAUUUCUGAAGGCCGAUACGUGCCAUACAUGAGAGAGUAUCCAUAUAAUGAUGAUCCACCGAAACAUCGUCGGCGUUUCCAGUACAGUUGGUUCAAGGAUUUUAAAUGGCUCGAGUUUUCACCUUACACAAAGCGUGCAUAUUGCUUCCAUUGUUUCCUCUUCUCAAGAAAGCCGAUUGGGAAGUGCGGCUCAGAAACAUUUACUGUUUUGGGCUUUGAUAGGUGGAAGAAGGUGAAUAAUGGGAAAGAGUGUGCUUUUUUAACUCAUAUGGGUAAAGAUGCUGGUUCAGCCCAUAACUUCUCAGUUCGUUGUUAUGAUAAUUUUAAAAACGGCAUGACUCAUAUUGAUAAGCUGUAUGGGAAAGCAUCCGCAAAAACAAUUUUAGAUGCAAGGCUAAGCCUCAAAGUUACAAUUGAUUCCAUCCGGUGGUUAACAUUCCAGGCUUGUGCUUUUAGAGGGCAUGAUGAAUCUCCGGGAUCCAUUAACCGGGGUAAUUUCCUAGAACUGGUAAAACUUUUGGCUUCUUAUAACAAGGAGGUGAAUGAUGUUGUCUUGGAAAAUGCUCCUGGAAACGCAAAGUACACAUCUCAUCAGGUUCAAGAGGAAAUUCUUGCUAUACUUUCUCGAAAGGUGCAAAGAACAAUUAGAGAAGAAAUUGGUGAUAGCAAAUUUUGUAUAAUGGUUGACGAAGCUCGCGAUGAAUCCAAGAAAGAACAAAUGGCGUUGGUCCUUCGGUUUCCUGACACUGAAGGGUUCAUACAGGAGCGUUUUGUUGAUGUCAUUCAUGUGAAUGACACUCUUGCAUUGACUCUCAAAGAGACAAUUUGCACUGUUCUAGCAAAUAACAAUUUAAAUGUGGAAGGUAUCAGAGGUCAGGCCUAUGACGGGGCCAGUAAUAUGCGAGGGGAGUGGAACGGAUUGAAGGCUUUAAUUCUGAAGGCGUGCCCUUAUGCAUAUUACAUUCAUUGUAUGGCGCAUCAGCUUCAGUUAGCCCUUGUUGCAGCAUCACGAGAGGUACAUGAAGUGCAUAAUUUUUUUCAACAUGCCAAUUUUGUCAUAAAUGUUGUUAGUGCUUCACCUAAACGCAAUGAUGAGUUACUAGCAAAUCAAGCUGCCGAAAUUGCCCUCCUACGAAGUAUAGCAAAUGAUCGUUCGGUGACACAAUAUUCCCGUGGAGAUGCUGGAGGCGCCUUAAGGAUAAUUGUUUCUUUUGAUUUUGUGUUCAUUUUGCACCUCAUGGAGAGGAUUAUGAAAAUCACAGAUGUCUUGUGCCAAACACUACAGAAGAAAUCUAUGGACAUUCUGAAUGCAUUAGAUACACUCUCUAACACUAAGGUGCUCCUCGCUGAACUAAGAGAGGAAGGAUGGGAACCUCUCAUCGAGGAGGUUAAGACCUUUUGUGUGAAGCAUGAAGUUGAGAUCCCCGAUAUGAGUCGCAAUAACAUCACGGUGCUUCACCACUACAAAGCAGAUGUGUUCAAUGUGGCGAUAGAUCAACAACUGGUUGAGCUAAAUGACCGUUUUAGUGUUCAGACUACAGAGCUAAUGACACUCUGUGCAUGUAAAGCCUCUGUGUAUCCAAUGGUUGAUAGAUUAUUGUGCUUGGUCAUCACUCUCCCGGUGUCAACUGCAACUGCGGAGAGAGCUUUUUCAGCAAUGAAGAUUAUCAAGACGCGUCUCCGAAGUAAAAUGGGUGACGAUUUUCUUCGACCUUACAUGGUUGUAUACAUUGGGAAGGAAAUAGCUGCAAAGUUCAAUGUUAACGAGAUUAUUGAUUUGUUUGAUCGACCGGCUGGGGGGCGUAGAUCUGCAUUCAAACUAGUAGAAAUGUAG
RNAcentral lists this ribosomal RNA (2136 nucleotides) under Triticum aestivum (bread wheat). RNAcentral's name for it is "partial small subunit ribosomal RNA". The record is from RNAcentral. Lineage: Eukaryota; Viridiplantae; Streptophyta; Magnoliopsida; Poales; Poaceae.